RNAcentral lists this ribosomal RNA (464 nucleotides) under uncultured bacterium. RNAcentral's name for it is "partial 16S ribosomal RNA". It matches the Rfam family "Bacterial small subunit ribosomal RNA", at positions 339 to 795 of the family's 1533-position model. The record is from RNAcentral.
CUACGGGUGGCUGCAGUGAGGAAUUUUGCGCAAUGGGGGAAACCCUGACGCAGCAACGCCGCGUGAGCGAAGAAGGCCCUCGGGUCGUAAAGCUCUGUCAAGUGGGAAAAAAAUCUUUUGAUCAAUAGUUAAAAGACUUGAUGGUACCACUGGAAGAAGCACCGGCUAACUCCGUGCCAGCAGCCGCGGUAAUACGGAGGGUGCAAGCGUUGUUCGGAUUUACUGGGCGUAAAGAGCGUGUAGGCGGUUUAGCAAGUCAGAUGUGAAAGCCCUGGGCUCAACCCGGGAAGUGCAUUUGAAACUGCUUCACUAGAGUAUGGGAGAGGAGAUUGGAAUUCCUGGUGUAGAGGUGAAAUUCGUAGAUAUCAGGAGGAACACCCGUGGCGAAGGCGAUUCUCUGGACCAAUACUGACGCUGAGACGCGAAAGCGUGGGGAGCAAACAGGAUUAGAUACCCUAGUAGUC